This 493-nucleotide ribosomal RNA is filed under the name uncultured bacterium. RNAcentral describes it as "bacterial SSU rRNA". It matches the Rfam family "Bacterial small subunit ribosomal RNA", at positions 903 to 1397 of the family's 1533-position model. The record is from RNAcentral.
AAAUGAAUUGACGGGGACCCGCACAAGCAGCGGAGCAUGUGGUUUAAUUCGAAGCAACGCGAAGAACCUUACCAGGACUUGACAUCCUCUGCAUUACCCUUAAUCGGGGAAAUCCCUUCGGGGACAGAGAGACAGGUGGUGCAUGGUUGUCGUCAGCUCGUGUCGUGAGAUGUUGGGUUAAGUCCCGCAACGAGCGCAACCCUUGUCUUUAGUUGCCAGCACUUUGGGUGGGCACUCUAAAGAGACCGCCGAGGAUAACUCGGAGGAAGGUGGGGAUGACGUCAAAUCAUCAUGCCCCUUAUGUUCUGGGCUACACACGUGCUACAAUGGCUGGUACAACGGGUAGCGAAAGAGUAAUCUGGAGCCAAUCUUAAAAGCCAGUCUCAGUUCGGAUUGUGGGCUGCAACUCGCCCACAUGAAGCUGGAGUUGCUAGUAAUCGCGGAUCAGAAUGUCGCGGUGAAUGCGUUCCCGGGUCUUGUACACACCGCCCGU